GUUAUAAGAAAAGUGGUUCUGUCGACUGUGAAGUGCCUCACUGAAAGAGUCCACUUACGGUCACUGAGAGGUGAUAGCUGCAUCAUUUGAUUUGCCAUUAAAAAAAUUUUUAUCUUUUUCUAAGGUUCUUUGAAGAAGCAACAAAACUGUCUAAAUUACUGGCACAUCUGGCAAAUGCACAAGGAAACAAAAGGAAAUUAUCUGGCAGAGCUUCAUUGCUUGCUACUUUUAAUUGCAAUUUAAAAACAAAACAAAAAAAAGGUGAUCAAGCAUAAAAAAUCUGGUAGGUUCCAUAAGAAGUAAUUAUCUUUUUAUCAUGUUAACAAAAAAACCCACACCAAAUAGCAGUACUGCUCUACAAAAAGAAUGAACAGUAACCAUUUCCUGUACAAAUUUAUUCAAUACAGCCAAGGUAUGAGUGGGGGGAAAACAGAGUAUACUAGAAUAGUUUAAUAUUUAGCUAAUUGUGAUAUGUAAAACUAGGUAUCUGGUUCACAGAUCUUUCUUUGACCUUACUGCUGUGUACCUGCUACUUUCAAGAACAAAAUCUGUGCGAAAUUGAGGUUCUUCUCCUAAUACAAAAAAGUCAAAGAUAACUUUUUAAAAAUUAUUGUAUACUGAUACUUGUAUAUAAAGCAUUUGACAGAUUUUACAAGCGUAUGUAUAUGUAUGCACAUGCUUUUCAAUGUAAAUGAGGAAACAUGAACAUGUCAGUUACCAGAGACCAUACUUUGUCUGCCUCUACUAAAAUCUGCCAUGGAACUUACAUGAUUAUAAUUAAUGUGGCAGAUGGAGCUCAAUUGUAUUAUUUAUAUUUUAUUCUGUAUUAUAUUUAGUUUGGUUUGAUACUCUGAUUAACAGUUCUUUCCUGAACUGUU
This is a long non-coding RNA of Neopsephotus bourkii (Bourke's parrot), 878 nucleotides long. RefSeq lists it as uncharacterized. NCBI's taxonomy places the organism in Eukaryota, Metazoa, Chordata, Aves, Psittaciformes, Psittacidae. The transcript is spliced from 2 exons. The record is from RefSeq and is a predicted model, not a curated record.